This 33-nucleotide ribosomal RNA is filed under the name Botryosphaeria dothidea. Its description in RNAcentral is "partial 18S ribosomal RNA". The record is from RNAcentral. Lineage: Eukaryota; Fungi; Ascomycota; Dothideomycetes; Botryosphaeriales; Botryosphaeriaceae.
UUACGUUCGUAGUCACUGCGUUUAGGAUCAUUA